UAAAACUCCUAGCCUUUGCAUCUAAGUUCAGCCACUGAAUAUGAUGUUCAGGCCGUGACCUCAGAGUCGCCAGGGUGCAAGAUAGAAAUGUCUGCAUCUCCCGUAUUUGGAAAGGUGUGAAUA
RNAcentral lists this non-coding RNA (123 nucleotides) under Providencia rustigianii. RNAcentral describes it as "Moco (molybdenum cofactor) riboswitch". It matches the Rfam family "Molybdenum/Tungsten riboswitch aptamer (Moco RNA motif)", at positions 8 to 125 of the family's 135-position model. Lineage: Bacteria; Pseudomonadati; Pseudomonadota; Gammaproteobacteria; Enterobacterales; Morganellaceae. The record is from RNAcentral.